CUUUUCCGCCGGCGACCGGCGCACGGGUGCGCACCGCGUAUGGAACCUACCUUGUACAGGGGAAUAGCCCAGGGAAACUUGGAUUAAUGCCCCGUAGCACCGUAUUUCGGCAUCGUUAUACGGUUAAAGUCUUCGGGCGGUACAAGAUGGCCAUGCGUCCCAUUAGCUAGUUGGUAAGGUAACGGCUUACCAAGGCUACGAUGGGUAGGGGCCCUGAGAGGGGGAUCCCCCACACUGGUACUGAGACACGGACCAGACUCCUACGGGAGGCAGCAGUGAGGAAUAUUGGACAAUGGAGGGGACUCUGAUCCAGCCAUGCCGCGUGCAGGAAGAAUGCCCUAUGGGUAGUAAACUGCUUUUAUACGGGAAGAAAAAGAGCUACGUGUAGCUUACUGACGGUACCGUAAGAAUAAGGACCGGCUAACUCCGUGCCAGCAGCCGCGGUAAUACGGAGGGUCCGAGCGUUAUCCGGAAUUAUUGGGUUUAAAGGGUCCGUAGGCGGGCCGAUAAGUCAGGGGUGAAAGUCUGCCGCUCAACGGUAGAACUGCCUUUGAUACUGUCGGUCUUGAGUUAUAGUGAAGUUGCCGGAAUAUGUAGUGUAGCGGUGAAAUGCAUAGAUAUUACAUAGAACACCGAUUGCGAAGGCAGGUGACUAACUAUCGACUGACGCUGAUGGACGAAAGCGUGGGGAGCGAACAGGAUUAGAUACCCUGGUAGUCCACGCCGUAAACGAUGGAUACUAGCUGUCCGG
Molecule: ribosomal RNA, 751 nt
Filed under: Maribacter dokdonensis
Lineage: Bacteria; Pseudomonadati; Bacteroidota; Flavobacteriia; Flavobacteriales; Flavobacteriaceae
Description: bacterial SSU rRNA
Rfam family: Bacterial small subunit ribosomal RNA
Source: RNAcentral